RNAcentral lists this ribosomal RNA (253 nucleotides) under uncultured bacterium. RNAcentral describes it as "partial 16S ribosomal RNA". It matches the Rfam family "Bacterial small subunit ribosomal RNA", at positions 524 to 776 of the family's 1533-position model. The record is from RNAcentral.
UACGUAGGGGGCAAGCGUUGUCCGGAAUCAUUGGGCGUAAAGCGCGCGUAGGCGGCCCUGUAAGUCCGUUGUGAAAGUCAAAGGCUCAACCUUUGAAAGCCGAUGGAUACUGCAGGGCUAGAGUCCGGAAGAGGCGAGUGGAAUUCCUGGUGUAGCGGUGGAAUGCGUAGAUAUUGGGAGGAACACCGGUGGCGAAGGCGGCCCCCUGGACCGGUACUGACGCUGAGGCGCGAAAGCGUGGGUAGCAAACGGG